This 253-nucleotide ribosomal RNA is filed under the name uncultured bacterium. Its description in RNAcentral is "partial 16S ribosomal RNA". It matches the Rfam family "Bacterial small subunit ribosomal RNA", at positions 524 to 776 of the family's 1533-position model. The record is from RNAcentral.
UACGGGGGGGGCAAGCGUUAUCCGGAUUCACUGGGUUUAAAGGGUGCGUAGGCGGGCAGGUAAGUCCGUGGUGAAAUCUCUGAGCUUAACUCAGAAACUGCCAUGGAUACUAUUUGUCUUGAAUAUUGUGGAGGUAAGCGGAAUAUGUCAUGUAGCGGUGAAAUGCUUAGAUAUGACAUAGAACACCAAUUGCGAAGGCAGCUUACUACACAGUUAUUGACGCUGAGGCACGAAAGCGUGGGGAGCAAACAGG